AGUGAGUUUCCUGUCUGGAAGGAGACCGGUUUAUUGUGACCACAAAGAGUCGGGCUGACAGGGCUGAUCUAACGACCUUGUAAAGGCGAACUUAACACAAUGGUGGAGAAUCAUUUUUGCGACAUUAGAGACAAUUUGUCUAACUUUAACGUCAUAGAAAGUAAUGCAGAUCAGUGGUAUGGCGACGGAAUAACUUAAACAUCUGGAUCUGCUUGGUUCAUUGUAUCAUACCAGGAACCGAUGAAGCCAGAACCCUCCACAUUCGAUCCAGGCUCCUAAGAGCUCCACACUGGAGACCAGUGUAAUGGGCGUGGUUGACCUCAAAAGGUCACUGGAGGACUACGAGGCCUUCAGGCCAUCACAUGAUCAGGGUUAUGGGUGUCGGCACACAUUCCUAAGGCAGAACUGCUUCGACCCCCUUCCAGUGGAGAAUGGAAACAGCACGGUUGGAUCUCAGCAGGGUCUGUCGCCUCUAUCUCCCCCACACGGGCAGAGAGAUGUGUAAAAACAGAGGGCGGCGACUUCAUCGACCCAUUUACCUCUGAUUGAUCAUCAGUCUGCCGCCCUGCAUUCCUCUGCUGUGUAUAAACACAGUCACAAAGCUCACUACACAUGUGUAUUCCAUCACGGAGGUCAGAAGGCAAAGAUGCUAGCGCUGCAGGAGAUGGAUAGGGUUCAGCAUCAUGUGGAAGGCAGUCAAGCAGCAGCACUAAAGAUGUACAACAGCCACCAGCCCGGCUAAAGUCAUUCACAAUUUCAAUAUACACUCAGUUGUCAGUUUAUUAGGGACACCCAGCUACAAAUAACAAAGCAAUAAAGCCCACGCUCAUUAUAUUCAAUAGAAACUAUUGUUAGAGUUAUUUAGUUCUUUUUAUUGCCAUCUUGGGGGCUGUAGUUAGUAGUACAGCUAAAGUGUAGUGUGUUACACGUAUCUGAUUGAUCAACAACUAUUUUGAUCAUAAAAUUGUUUCAUUCCUCUUUCAAACACAUGUUUUCACACUCCUUGGCUUCUUUGUAAGACAAAACAAGCAACGAUGAUUGAGAACAGAACAGCUAAGCAACAAAAUAACUUGCUGAAGGAUUGUUAAUACCACUAAUAACAACAUCAGGAGGAUUGACUCACUGUUGAGUUGUAUCUGUGUCCCUUAUAAACUGGCAACUGUGUCAGUCCCCUUUAACUCUCUUCUCUCUCAGACAAUCUCUAUUACCUAAUAUCCCAUAUUUAAAUACUUCAAAUAUACACAUUUAAGCUGCAGCUCCUGAGGGAUCAAAAGGCUUCAGUUAAGUAUUAUCCAAUAAAACAAGUCAAGGAACGUCCAACAUGAUUACAA
Pleuronectes platessa (European plaice) is the source of this 1331-nucleotide long non-coding RNA. RefSeq lists it as uncharacterized. The record is from RefSeq and is a predicted model, not a curated record. Lineage: Eukaryota; Metazoa; Chordata; Actinopteri; Pleuronectiformes; Pleuronectidae. The transcript is spliced from 2 exons.